CUUUGGGGUUUUUUAGUACUAUCUGGUUUUGUUAUCAAAGUAAUUCUAUAAUCACAAAAUUAACUGGCAUAGUAUCCUUUCUGCCUUAUUCUUUUGGUCAAGUCAUCAGAGCCAGGAUCAAGGGGAGAGCACAUAGAGUGCAAAGAACUUUGGGGCCACAUUUAAAGCCACCAUAAAAUUCAGUUAGGCAUUCUGAAUUAUGACUCAAAAGGCAUUAUUUCAGGAACAAUUUAAUGGGGAAUAAUACUGUGCUUUCAGAACAUCACAGGCUAAACUUUUGGGUGGGGGCAGAAAGAAGGGAACCAUCUGCCUUUGUGGCUUGUCUGCAUUGUUUCUAUGGGAAAUGUGUUCUGAAUUCCUAAAACAAUGUGCAAACAAGCUUUUUUAACUCAACCCUUUGUUUGCUGUAUGAUGUUUCUUAAUUCUGAAAUGUAAAAAGCCAGUGGGGGUAAGUUGUACAAGGUGACUGGCAGGACCUGCUGGAGCUGAAAAGGAAUUGGAACUUCUUCUUCAUGGACUUCCAUCAUAGAAGCUAACACCACAGAGGCUCAGUCGACUUUGUUCCUCUGCCUACCACCACCUCUGGGUUCUGGAACAGAAUAUCGGACCAAAUUCUGUCAUAGAUGGCAGUACAUGUGACAAUGCCAUCCUCAUGUCAGCAUGCCAGAUGCAGGCAUUGUCCUUAUCAGGAAGAACUGACCGGACCACACAGCAGCAACAGCAUCCCUCACAGUUGGCAUGCAGCUCUGAGGUUCUCAAACUCAGAACGACUGAAAAGAGGUGCCUCCUCGGUUGCAAGAAUUGAAGAAAGCUCUACUUCCCAGAUGCAAGACCAUGCUGCAAGGCUUAUCCAGUACUCCAGUUUCAGACAUGAGAGCGAAUCUACCCAGGACUAGAAGCCAUCAUCCUGAGGUCACAUCUCUGCCUCCUCACCC
RNAcentral lists this long non-coding RNA (935 nucleotides) under Pan paniscus (pygmy chimpanzee). RNAcentral's name for it is "lncRNA (ENSPPAG00000045521.1)". Lineage: Eukaryota; Metazoa; Chordata; Mammalia; Primates; Hominidae. The record is from RNAcentral.